RNAcentral lists this long non-coding RNA (261 nucleotides) under Homo sapiens (human). RNAcentral's name for it is "non-protein coding lnc-ZBTB10-5:1". The record is from RNAcentral. Lineage: Eukaryota; Metazoa; Chordata; Mammalia; Primates; Hominidae.
CUUUCUAACCUGCCUGACAGGGGCCAGUUAAAUGUACAAUCAAUCUCUCUGAUCCUCAGUUUCCUCAUAACAAGAUGGAAAUGCAAAACUUACCAUAUAGGACUGCUGGGAGGAUUAAACAAAUGUGUAAUCAAUUAAUUUGCUAAAUCAAUUAAUUAGAUGUCUUUUUUUUCUUCUACUCCUUUUUGUUUUGUUUAAAGCAGCAGGGUCUCACUCUGUUGCCCAGACUGGAGUGCAGUGGCCAGAUCAUAGCUCACUGCA